CACGGCGACUAUAUCCCUGGUGUUCACCUCUUCCCAUUCCGAACAGAGUCGUUAAGCCCAGGAGAGCCGAUGGUACUGCUUUAUUGCGGGAGAGUAGGUCGUCGCCGAGU
RNAcentral lists this ribosomal RNA (110 nucleotides) under Chlorobium limicola. The record is from RNAcentral. Lineage: Bacteria; Pseudomonadati; Chlorobiota; Chlorobiia; Chlorobiales; Chlorobiaceae.